GGGGCUCUUGGCACAAAGGCAGUGCACAUGCUUUGCAUGCUUGAGGCUGUGGGUUCAAAUCCCAGAGUCCCA
RNAcentral lists this transfer RNA (72 nucleotides) under Laccaria bicolor S238N-H82. Its description in RNAcentral is "tRNA-Ala (TGC) (tRNA-Ala-TGC-8-1)". It matches the Rfam family "tRNA". Rfam says of the family: Transfer RNA (tRNA) molecules are approximately 80 nucleotides in length. Their secondary structure includes four short double-helical elements and three loops (D, anti-codon, and T loops). Lineage: Eukaryota; Fungi; Basidiomycota; Agaricomycetes; Agaricales; Hydnangiaceae. The record is from RNAcentral.